This 3868-nucleotide long non-coding RNA is filed under the name Nicotiana tabacum (common tobacco). Its description in RNAcentral is "long non-coding RNA (NTAB_LNC017928)". Lineage: Eukaryota; Viridiplantae; Streptophyta; Magnoliopsida; Solanales; Solanaceae. The record is from RNAcentral.
CUUACAAACCCCUCCCCCUUUUCCGUCCAAUUUCCACUUUUCCAAACCACCAUCGUUAACCAUUCCUUCCCCCACCAUUUUCUUUGACAUACCUCCCCUCGUUACUUUAACCAUUCUUUUUCAAAACUUAAACACUAAAACUCUUCCAUAAAACUCAUAUAAGUAUUAAAAAACAGAGAAUAACUAAGUGGAGAACCCUCCAAGGGUUACUGAUGGACCUUGCCAGAAAAGCUCAUCUCCAGGGACCUUUCUUUGUUUGUCUCAUUUUGUCAUGUCUGACAGAACCCUUGUACAUAUCAGUUAAUUUAAUUGUUUGAGGGAGUUGAAGUGAAGAUGCCUCCGAUUGGACUCUAUCGUUGCCACCUUCGCCGGGCAAAUUUGAAAGAAUCGACUCCAAUGAAAUCUUCAGUCUUCUCUCUUUAUCAUCUUCUUGAUGCUGAAUUUGGGUUAUAUCACUGUUUCUAGUUUGUUAUUUUUUGUGUAAAUUUCUCCUUAAAUUGUUGUCUAGCUGAUUCAAGCAAUUGGUUCUUGUUUUUGUGUUUCUGUGGAAGUAAGAUGUUGUCAUCAGUAGUUAUUAAAGGGGUUGUUGGUAUUUAUUUGGUGGAGAUAAGGAUGAUGGGGUGAUGGAGAUGAGGGUGAUAGGGCUAUUGGUGUUUAUGUGGUGGCAACUUAGCAGUGAGAAGAAUUGUAGAAGACGGUGUCUUAGAUAAAGCUGUAGUAGUAUAGUUUUUUGGGUACUUAAUUAAGGCUGCCAUGGAUAGUGGUCGAUAAUGGAGGUGAGUGUCGGCUAUGAAGGAAGGAGAGAGACCAAGAGAAAAAGAUGUAUUUUUCUGUCAAAGAAAAAGAAAAUUAGGUUGAAAAAAUAACUUCAAGCGCUCAAAAUCUUGUUAUCCAACAGGCAUAUGCCACAUCAGUCACAAAGGUUCAGAAGAUAUGCUUAUGGUAAGUAGAGGUGUCAACUGAUCAUUGGGGACAACUUAAAUGGGCCAUUUAUAUAUUUUGCCUUAUUAUUAUUAUUAUUAUUAUUAUUAUUAUUAUCAUACAAAGAAUAAGAAGACAUUCGUGAUAACGUGCAGUAGAAGAAAAUGACACUGUCCAAGAAUAUUUUAGCAAAAGCUUUUAAAAAGUUCUAAGCCAACAUUAUAACAUGAGCGUUAGGUGAAUGUGAAGAAAACGAGAUAGUUUAGGUAGAAUAAGAUUGUUACGUCUUUAUCAGUCAAAAUUGACACCAAAUAGUAAUCAGUAGUAACGCAUGUAUGAAUUGACACCAUCAGAACGAGUGAACGACCAUGCAGCAAUGUUUUUUCUUCUUUGACACGGAGAGAAGUAGAGCUCGGGUUGAAGGAAAGCAAAUGGCCAUCAAAGGUUGUGAUGAGAUGAAAAAGAUCUCUCUAUCCUCAAUCAAAGGUCUCGUUAAAGCUCGGAAAAUAGAAAAAUUAUGGUAGUAAGCUCUCUCACGUAUAAUAAGUCUUACACUAAGCAAACCUGGAUUAAUCGAGCCUCAAUGUGCAUACCAAAUCUCGGAUGUCGGAAAAAAGGGACAAGGUAGUACCUUUCAGCUAGUACGUACCAGGAACAUAGUACUUUACAUUAUCAUUAGCUCUGAGAUUUUCGGGCUCAGUAACUUGAGGUUGGAAACGCCAACAAAAGAUUCAAGGGGCAAUGAAACACUAACAAAAGCGAGGCAUAGGCCAUCACACAAAAUGCAGCAAUUGAACGGCCCGAAAGAUCUGAUGCUCUGCCACCAUGAGAAUGAUUUAUGCAGCUUGAGAAAAUAUGCAAAAGAAAUGAGCGUGCAGCAUGUCAAAUCGAUCCAGACGGCUUGUUAACACUUCAUGAACGAACAAAUGACUGAACUAAGAAGGUACAAGCCAUUAGAUGUUUGAAAAGUUAGCAGUACAAUUAUAACUUCAGUUAGAAGAUCUUCAGAGGAGCGUACAUAGUCGAUCUCUUAAACUAAUUUUACAGAUCACUUGUAGAAUUCAAAGUCAGUGUCAGGCUUCUUCACAUUGGUCCUGUAGCCCUUUUCGAAGUCCUUGGGGAGAAUGACAUAUCGAUUCUUUCGCACUGCAUGCAUACCUGCUUCCUGACAAAUAGCUGAAAUCUGCAGACGUUGCAACAUGCAUCAAAUCAUGUUGUACGGAAAAUUGAAGGACAAAACCAGACACAGCACGAUAUAAAACAACUAUGUAGCCUGACUUCUAAAUUUAGAACAGUAGUGGAGCAUCCUAUUUCUCCCUCAAAAACAGAUGAAGAGCAAAGAGACAAACCUCAGCAGCACUAAUUUUAUCAGGGCGAGAAACAUAAUCUUCCAAGUCGACCUCAUCACCUAAGUUCAUCUUAGCAGUGCAGACCUGGACAAAAAUCAUCCAGCUUUAGAUUUUUGGUCUGUUAUGGGAGCGGAGAAAUAUCUAGAUAAUGAAUGAGAUACACAAUCCAUAAACCAAUCUCUCAAAACUUCCUUCCACAAUUUUUCACUCUUAAAUUAUUUUCUUUGGUGCUGGGGAAUACGAUUAAAGAAGAAAUCCUUAUACAAAGUCAUCCAAAAUUCUACCUGAAAAACAAGCCUCUUUUGACGCCUAUCAGGCAAAGGAAAUUCAAUCUUCCGAUCAAGCCUUCCAGGGCGCAAAAGUGCAGGAUCCAAAGUAUCAGCUCUAUUAGUUGCCAUAAUAACUUUCACAUUCACGGUCUGGUCAAAUCCAUCCAUCUGCAGGAGAAACACCAAACAGAAACUUCAUAAACAAUUCUCAGUGCAUGCAUUCUGACAGAUUACUUUAGAAGAAUACACAGAAGCCUACCUGAUUUAGCAACUCCAUGAGGAUACGCUGGACCUCCCUAUCAGCUCCAGUCUGAGCAUCAAACCUGGCAGUUGCAAUUGCAUCUACCUCAUCAAUAAAUAUGAUUGCAGGAGCAUUUUCUUUGGCAAGGCGAAAGACAUCACGAACCAUUCGAGGACCCUGCACAGUCAGAGAGCAAAUGAGAAAAUUAAAGCUUGAGUAAUAGAAACAAAUGGAGUCUCGUCACCGUUCAUGGACUGUAAAAUUGACUGAGUUUUGUCCCUCUUAACUCAGGAGUAAAAGGAAAUCUAAAGAAAAACAAAUUUGUAUGCAAGAAAUUAUAAAUUGAUCCGAAGUAGCAUCCCCAAUAAAACAGUUCUGUUCAACAUGAUGCGUGCGACAAAAUGUACAAUAUUGCACUCCAAGCUGCAUGUUGACAUAAUGGAACUGUUCUACUUGAUUGGGUGCGGAAAGAUGGUCCGUCUCUUAACUUAUCCCGAAAAAAUAAAGGAAAAACAAAAGAGUCCCUCCCCCCCCAAAAAACAAAAAUUGGCUUGUCUCUACAGCCACUUCCAAAUAUCAACAAAUGGUUCUUGCAUAGGAUGUUCUUAGUUUCACGAAAUAUUUUCUUGUAUAUCAUGUUGCUACUCAGCCUGAUUGGGACAGCAGAAUUCCAUGUCCCCUAUCUUUUAGUGAAUUAUAUUAGUGUUCUUUUCACAAAGUCUGCUAGAUGCCUGAGGAUAAUUGUCGUUUUAAUAAUUAAUGAACUAAUCUUUGAUCUCAGAUUAAAAAAUUAACCAAGUUAACUACUGCAAAUAGAACAAUAUAUACAAUUUGGGACAAAGGUAACAAUAAUUAAAUGCCUUAUUCUCACACCACAAAAAAGUCACGAAUCAUGAAAUUUAAAAGGGCAAAAAAGUCUUGGACAAGAAGCAAAUGCUUUCUUUCUCCAAGAUUCUUCCAAGAUGGAAACAAAUACUUUAAAAUCCAUUUUUUAAUCUGAAAUGACACAGUCAAGAUAGUUUGAAGAAAGAACAAAUGGGUGAGUAAUGAUUCAUUGAUGCACAGAAAUAACUGCUCAGACAAUCCCA